Molecule: ribosomal RNA, 460 nt
Filed under: uncultured bacterium
Lineage: Bacteria
Description: partial 16S ribosomal RNA
Rfam family: Bacterial small subunit ribosomal RNA
Source: RNAcentral
CCUACGGGGUGCAGCAGUGAGGAAUAUUGGUCAAUGGACGAGAGUCUGAACCAGCCAAGUAGCGUGAAGGAUGACUGCCCUAUGGGUUGUAAACUUCUUUUAUAUGGGAAUAAAAUGUUCCACGUGUGGGCUUUUGUAUGUACCAUAUGAAUAAGGAUCGGCUAACUCCGUGCCAGCAGCCGCGGUAAUACGGAGGAUCCGAGCGUUAUCCGGAUUUAUUGGGUUUAAAGGGAGCGUAGGUGGAUUGUUAAGGCAGUUGUGAAAGUUUGCGGCUCAACCGUAAAAUUGCAGUUGAAACUGGCAGUCUUGAGUACAGUAGAGGUGGGCGGAAGUCGUGGUGUAGCGGUGAAAUGCUUAGAUAUCACGAAGAACUCCGAGUGCGAAGGCAGCUCACUGGACUGCAACUGACACUGAGGCUCGAAAGUGUGGGUAUCAAACAGGAUUAGAUACCCUUGUAGUC